RNAcentral lists this ribosomal RNA (427 nucleotides) under uncultured bacterium. RNAcentral's name for it is "bacterial SSU rRNA". It matches the Rfam family "Bacterial small subunit ribosomal RNA", at positions 355 to 774 of the family's 1533-position model. The record is from RNAcentral.
UGGGGAAUAUUGGACAAUGGGGGAAACCCUGAUCCAGCGAUGCCGCGUGCGGGAAGAAGGCCUUCGGGUUGUAAACCGCUUUUGUCAGGGAAGAAACGAGUUUCUCUAAUACAGAGACUUAAUGACGGUACCUGAAGAAUAAGCACCGGCUAACUACGUGCCAGCAGCCGCGGUAAUACGUAGGGUGCAAGCGUUAAUCGGAAUUACUGGGCAUAAAGCGUGCGCAGGCGGUUAUGCAAGACAGAGGUGAAAUCCCCGGGCUCAACCUGGGAACUGCCUUUGUGACUGCAUAGCUAGAGUACGGUAGAGGGGGAUGGAAUUCCGCGUGUAGCAGUGAAAUGCGUAGAUAUGCGGAGGAACACCGAUGGCGAAGGCAGCCUCCUGGGCCAGUACUGACGCUCAUGCACGAAAGCGUGGGGAGCAAACA